AGAUAUCUCAAUUGCAACCACAGUUGCAGAAGGGACUAUCAAGAAUGCAUACAAGGAUCUCUAUCCCCAUGCUUCCAAAAUAAUACCUGAAUGGUAUCUCAAGGAUAAGGACAUUAAGAGCCUGUGCAGUCCCAAGGCUUAGAAGCUCUAUUUAUUUUAGCGCAGUAUACGAAUCUGCUGGCCUAAAUCUUCAAGAAGUGCCCAGAAUAGAGAAAACAUCAGAUAUUGAAGUUAUAAGGUCACUGUAGUAACAUGUACCCUGAGUAAUCAGAUUUUUUUCAUUUACACUUUUGUUCCCUCCCCACGAUACAGAUAGGCUAAUUAAUUUCAUAAUUUAUUUGAUAUAUUAUGCGGCGUUUGUUUCUCCAA
Lycium ferocissimum is the source of this 369-nucleotide long non-coding RNA. RefSeq lists it as uncharacterized. Lineage: Eukaryota; Viridiplantae; Streptophyta; Magnoliopsida; Solanales; Solanaceae. The transcript is spliced from 2 exons. The record is from RefSeq and is a predicted model, not a curated record.